UACGAAGGGGGCUAGCGUUGCUCGGAAUCACUGGGCGUAAAGCGCACGUAGGCGGCUUUUUAAGUCAGGGGUGAAAUCCCGGAGCUCAACUCCGGAACUGCCUUUGAUACUGAAAAGCUUGAGUUCGGGAGAGGUGAGUGGAACUGCGAGUGUAGAGGUGAAAUUCGUAGAUAUUCGCAAGAACACCAGUGGCGAAGGCGGCUCACUGGCCCGAUACUGACGCUGAGGUGCGAAGGCGUGGGGAGCAAACAGG
Molecule: ribosomal RNA, 253 nt
Filed under: uncultured bacterium
Lineage: Bacteria
Description: partial 16S ribosomal RNA
Rfam family: Bacterial small subunit ribosomal RNA
Source: RNAcentral